This is a long non-coding RNA of Panicum virgatum (switchgrass), 1517 nucleotides long. RefSeq lists it as uncharacterized. NCBI's taxonomy places the organism in Eukaryota, Viridiplantae, Streptophyta, Magnoliopsida, Poales, Poaceae. The record is from RefSeq and is a predicted model, not a curated record. The transcript is spliced from 4 exons.
UGUAAAAAAAACCCCGCAGAGCGCUUUUGCAGUAAACCCCUCCCCAAGUCACAAACCCUAACCCCCUCUCUCUUCCCUUCCGUUCUCUCUCCAUCUCUGCUCUCUCCCUCCCCGCUGUUGCCGCCGCCGCCAACUCCCCUUCUUCCUCUCUGCCGGCGCUCCUCCUGCUCUCCUCCGCCGCCACCCGCACCCGCAGGAUCCACGCCGCCCAUCUCCCCAACCCUCCUCUCUCUCUCUACUCUGGCGGCGCCUCCUCUCUUUUCUCUCUCCCGGCGCCUUUUUCCCGGUGGCAUCUCUCCUCGCCCCUCACCCCUCCGCGCGCCACGGGCCGGCGUGGAACCGGCCGACCAGCUCGCAGCGCGGCCGGUAGCGGCAGCGCGCGGGAGACAGAGGCGCGGUCGGCCGCGCCACGCUCACCUCCUAACCUACACCGCGCGGCCUCCCCUCUGCCCUCCACCGUCGGCAAAGGACAAGAAGCCGAGCUGAGCUGGUGGGCUCGCCGCUCUCGGCCGGCCGUACCUCCGUCGCCUCUCCCCGAUGGCGCUCCUCUGCUCUCCGGUCUCCACCGCCGCCUGCUCCCGCGGGAUCCAGAUCUGGCACAGGGCGCCGCUCGGAGGGAGGGGGCAUGGGCAGCAUCCUGGGCACACGACGUCAGCGAUUCCCUACUUGUCCCGCUCCUCCGACCACGACGAGCUCCAAGACCGCCUCCGUGCCGCCGCUACCACCACAGCACCCGCCACCCCCUCCGGCUACACCACGCCGCCCCCACACACCUCCUCAAUGGGCUGACGCUGGCUUCGAUGCGCGGGCGGCGCUUGAGCGCGAGCACCGCCGCAGGUCGGACGGUGCGUAGCCGCAUCUAGUGAACAUCCAGUUCCAAAAGACGGUGCGCAGCCGCAUCUGGUGAACAUCGAGUUCCAGAAGAAGCCUGUUGCGCUCUACUUGGAUUUCAAGCUCGGCUAGAGCUACACGCUGAGCAAGAUCUCCAUCUGGCCUGGGGAUGGCUUCCACAACCUCGAGCUCCGGAGGGAGAGGAUAGCUGAGAGGAUGAAGGUAUGCGUUUGUUGCAGCUCUAGAGGGAGAGGAUAGCUGACAGGAUGAAGGUGUUGCAGGAGUUGGUCCCUAACGCCAACAAGGUAGACUAAUUUUUCACCAAUCUUGCAGCUCUAGAGGGAGAGGAUAGCUGACAGGAUGAAGGUGUUGCAGGAGUUGGUCCCUAACGCCAACAAGCCUGGAGCCGCAGGCAGGCAAGGCAACAGGGGCACAAUACGUUGGGUUGGUCCUGGCUGGUGGCCAGAGGGCGGCGUUGGCAACAUGCUCCUGGUCGAGCUCGAGCUCCAGCCAACACACUGGAUAUGAGACACCUAUGAUGAGAUAGUGUACCCACAUUGUUCAAAUGUUAGCAUCUUAAUGAUGUAUGUAUUACUAUGUGCUAUGAUUUUGUGUUGAAUUUAUCAUAUACCAUGCAUAUCAUUUGUCAUUUCAUUACUUUUGGUUUACUUAUGUUUAAUUGUACA